AUUCCUGUUGGGGUGGGGGUGGGGACUCUUGGGGUUGGAGGGAUGGUCGAGUUGCCAGGCCCACUUUUCCCUUAUCUUUGUGGGAGUCUGGGACACCCCAGCCCUGUCCUGGCUGGUGGAAGCUGCCCCAGGUCUCUCAAGGCCUUUCCAUUUCAUCCCCCAGCUUCCCUCCUUGGAGUUUCAUCCUCAUCACCUCAUCCCCAUCUUGCCAGUGCUCCCGCGUCCCACCCGUCCCUGCUCUUUCCUGACCCCUUUUCUGUUCUCCAGACCCGUGUUCCUGUGCGGAGGGGAUGUGAAGGGGGAAUCAGGUUACGUGGCAAGUGAGGGGUUCCCCAACCUCUACCCCCCUAAUAAGGAGUGCAUCUGGACCAUAACGGUCCCCGAGGGCCAGACUGUGUCCCUCUCAUUCCGAGUCUUCGACCUGGAGCUGCACCCCGCCUGCCGCUACGAUGCUCUGGAGGUCUUCGCUGGGUCUGGGACUUCCGGCCAGCGGCUCGGACGCUUUUGUGGGACCUUCCGGCCUGCGCCCCUAGUCGCCCCCGGCAACCAGGUGG
Molecule: small RNA, 554 nt
Filed under: Pan troglodytes (chimpanzee)
Lineage: Eukaryota; Metazoa; Chordata; Mammalia; Primates; Hominidae
Description: retained intron
Source: RNAcentral